This is a long non-coding RNA of Salvelinus fontinalis (brook trout), 1823 nucleotides long. RefSeq lists it as uncharacterized. Lineage: Eukaryota; Metazoa; Chordata; Actinopteri; Salmoniformes; Salmonidae. The record is from RefSeq and is a predicted model, not a curated record. The transcript has 4 exons.
CUAGAAAUUUGAAGUUGACCUGGCAAGCCUGUCCCUGCCUGAGCGUGAUCACCACUGAAGUAGCUGUGCAGCACGUGUUUUAAGGAAGAGGAGGAUGGUUGCAGAUGUUUGCAUUCAUGCAAGAAGGUAAGCUAUUAACUAAACUGUUAACCAAUAUUUUAGCUAAAAUUGUAUUUGGUGUAUUGACAAGCAAUGCAUGUUCUCGUUGUCUUUAUUUUUAAUGAAUUAAUGUCAGUCAUGUAUGUCUUUCGGUGGAAUCCAACAUGCAUUGAUGAUGUCUGAAAGCCGCAUUGUGUCAGAUAUACUGCGUCAUGACAGAUUGAAAUUGGCAGGUUUAUCCAAACAAUUCAUUAAUGUGCAAUUGUUACUUUGCAUGUUUCUACCUUAUAGGUAUUUGUGGCUUGCUAACGGUUAGCAUGCUACCCAUGCUAGUUAAAAAAAAAAGAAGGUAGCUAUGGUUGCAAGCUAGCUAAUAAGUUUAGCAUAAUUGGUAAACGUGUCUUUGAUUCAGAAUACAUGAUUGUGGUUAACAAUGUUGCAUGUAUUGGAAGAUAAUAUUGCUAUAGUGUAACAAGCUAGCAAGAAAAGCCAGUUCCUUUUCAUCAUUUUUGUCAAGUUAUAAGCCUGUAUGUGUGUUAAAAUAUUUAAACCCCCUCAUUAAAUUCAUGUAUUGAAGUUGCGCCCGUUUUUUAUAGCACUUUCUUACCCAAAUACCGUUUUUUACAUUGAAAUAAUUCAGAUGAAAAUAAGAAAUAUGUUAAACUAAUUAAGAAAUAAGUGACCAGAUUUUUUUUAUUGAAAACCAUGGACAUUAUUUUGGGUGGGGGGAGGGGCGUGGUGCGGUUCCUCGUUCUUCUUUUUUUUGCACAUAAAAGAGUGAAACACCACAACAAGAAUAAGGGUUGUGGAAAGUGUCAAUUUUGGUAGGACUGUGACAAUUCACUGUCUUGAAAAAUACAUACAUACAAUACAUACAUAUAUUGGCAGAUUCUUUAACCAAAUCCCUAUUUCUUACACACAUUUUUUAAGAUCGAAAACAUAAUGGAAGAUAAGAGUCCAGGAACCUACAAAGUAACCAAUGCGGUAUGUUUUCUGAUUUGCCUAGUAUUUAGAGUACGCUUGCCUUGCUUUAGCCAAACCACUCAUACUGAUUCUCUUUUAGUCCAUCCAUAAAAGAACAUUCAGCUUUAGUUGCAUGCAGGAACUUGCAUAAUGUGCUUAUUUUAUGCUUAUACUUGCUUUUUUACCUUGAAAGUAGUUUUAAAAAACAGAAAUGGUAAUAGAUGUUUGUUGGACCUCUUAGUCAAUGAUAACAGUCAUUGGUGUCCCCCAGCCCAUCCCCUGUUGUGUGCCGAGCAAUCUUGUCAUUCUAUUAAGUCUCAACUAUUCUUUUUGUCUUCCUUUACAAAGGCACUGCAGAGGCUAAGAAGGCGCAUGUAAAAUCUAAAGAAGCAUAGUUCAACUUCAACCAGAUUUGAAAAGGAAAAGAAAAGAUAAAUCCCGAAGCGCAGAUGUCAGACACCGAGGCUGCCAGUACCUCUGAGGCGGACAGUACUUCUGGGUCGAUAGUCAAUGUGUUGGAUGAUGCACCACCGUUGAUCAGAACAGACAGUAUAUACUUGACCAAAGCUAUGCUUGGAUACAAGACUGAUGACUCAAUAACCAGCAUUGGCAACAGUGUAGAUGGUUAUGUCCCAGGAUCAUCAGAGAAGGGCAAUUUUUAUGAAGAAAAUCUGACAGGAGAGAUGUCAGUGAUUCGGGCCAAAAAGUCAAUGACCAAGGGAUUGGGGCAAAAGAGAGACUCACACGGUAAGCAUGUUUCC